This 649-nucleotide ribosomal RNA is filed under the name Vibrio antiquarius. RNAcentral describes it as "bacterial SSU rRNA". It matches the Rfam family "Bacterial small subunit ribosomal RNA", at positions 78 to 715 of the family's 1533-position model. Lineage: Bacteria; Pseudomonadati; Pseudomonadota; Gammaproteobacteria; Vibrionales; Vibrionaceae. The record is from RNAcentral.
CUUCGGGGAACGAUAACGGCGUCGAGCGGCGGACGGGUGAGUAAUGCCUAGGAAAUUGCCCUGAUGUGGGGGAUAACCAUUGGAAACGAUGGCUAAUACCGCAUGAUGCCUACGGGCCAAAGAGGGGGACCUUCGGGCCUCUCGCGUCAGGAUAUGCCUAGGUGGGAUUAGCUAGUUGGUGAGGUAAGGGCUCACCAAGGCAACGAUCCCUAGCUGGUCUGAGAGGAUGAUCAGCCACACUGGAACUGAGACACGGUCCAGACUCCUACGGGAGGCAGCAGUGGGGAAUAUUGCACAAUGGGCGCAAGCCUGAUGCAGCCAUGCCGCGUGUAUGAAGAAGGCCUUCGGGUUGUAAAGUACUUUCAGUCGUGAGGAAGGCGGCGUCGUUAAUAGCGGCGUUGUUUGACGUUAGCGACAGAAGAAGCACCGGCUAACUCCGUGCCAGCAGCCGCGGUAAUACGGAGGGUGCGAGCGUUAAUCGGAAUUACUGGGCGUAAAGCGCAUGCAGGUGGUUUGUUAAGUCAGAUGUGAAAGCCCGGGGCUCAACCUCGGAAUAGCAUUUGAAACUGGCAGACUAGAGUACUGUAGAGGGGGGUAGAAUUUCAGGUGUAGCGGUGAAAUGCGUAGAGAUCUGAAGGAAUACCGGUGG